UUUUGACAUUGUUAAACAUUUAAAAUUUAGCAAAAAUGUCUUUAGGUUGAAUUAGAAUUUUAAAUUAUAAUAUUUUUCCUAUGAUGAACCGUGGUGAUGGAUAUAAGACAGAAAUGUACAUUCUAUAGCUCUUCUGUUGACUUUCAGGGCAUCAGAAAUGGAUCCUUGGAAUUUGGACUCUAUUUUGAAAGACACUUUAAAAUCUCUAAGCAGAUGGGUCUCAACUACUUGCUGCUAAUACAGACGGGAACUCAAGCUGCCUGUAUUCUUGGCUGCAUAUUGCUGCAGGGACAGGAUUAGGAUGAGAACGGUAACCUUGUAGGACGUCUUAUGGAGUCAAUGCUGGCCAUGACAGGUGCUGUGGGAGAAGGUGGUCUGUACUGAGCCCCUACUGACCUUUCACUGGCAGAUAACACUAAAGGGAAGAAAAGGCUGAUCCCUGAGCCUUGUGUCUAGGUUAGAAGCCUGAAACUGGAAAAUAUAUGAAGUUAUGUCUGGUGUUUUAUUAUCUGUUGUUUUAGGAAGAGGUAUGAAUUUUGCCCUGAGAGAAAAAGAAUUGGGUUGAUGUCCCUUUGCUUCUGUGCACAGAGGUGACCUAGCAGUUACCAUGACAUCCCGAUUUAUUAACCUCAACCCCCAAAAUCCAGCCCACCUCUAGCAGUAAAGAGAUGGGAUUUUCUCUUACUGAAACUCUUUUAGUCUGAUCUUGUAAGGUUGCCUUUUUUUAAGGAGUAACCAAGCUCUCUGUUUAAUGUGUCUUUCAAUCAAUACUUGUGAGGGCAAGAGUCUCUAAGGCAUCCUUUGUUUAAAAAUGAACUGUUGGGUCUGCCUUUAAGCACUCAAGUUUUCCUUGUGUGCUUCAUCUGGAUCUCUCAAAAGAGACGUUUACUUGCCUUUGUAUGGUGGGGUCAACAUCAAGCAAAUUUCUGGUUUUCAAGGACUUUACAGUUAUACUGCAGGGCCUCUGAUAUGCUGCACUUUAUAUUGAUAGAAAUAUUUCAUAUGAUUGCAGUCCUGGACUUACUGCUCUUCAAUUUUCUCUUAAUAUUCUAGUUAGAGAUUUCAGUCUAUGUGAAAGUCAUAUUCUGGUUACUUACAGAAAUAUAUAUGAAAUAAGAUCUUCCCCAGAAUCUUCUAGUGCAAGGCAGUAAUGGUGGUAAACAGCCAAGAAGACACUUUGUCAAUGUCUUUAUUUCUUAGUUUUUCUUUUCGUAGUGGUAGGAGCUUUUUUCUGUUUAUAAAAAAUUUACUUAGGCUGUAGGUGCAUGAAAAAAGAGGGAAUAACUGUGGUAUAAAACUG
RNAcentral lists this long non-coding RNA (1300 nucleotides) under Anser brachyrhynchus (Pink-footed goose). RNAcentral's name for it is "lncRNA (ENSABRG00000020720.1)". The record is from RNAcentral. Lineage: Eukaryota; Metazoa; Chordata; Aves; Anseriformes; Anatidae.